CUGCUGAUCACUAUGUUUUCAUAUUCAUCCAAAAAAUGAGGUGCCACCACUGACAUAGGUAAAGUAGAUAUAAGUUUUGUAAGUAGUUGUCUGUCUGAUAACUUGGCAAACCGGACUACCAGAAAAAGGCUCAUGAACUUUUUGCAGAUGACAGAUUAAAAGGUGAAACCUGUGUCUAAAAGCAGAUAUGGCAGAAUCUAAAACCUGGGCGAACAAUUUUCUGGAGGUGAACCAUGAUCAGAUCAUCCAGGGUGUGCAGAACAGCAGACCCAUUGCAGAAGCUGCAAUUGCACAAGACUUGAUCCGUGAGGAGGGGGUACGGGAGAUCAGUUUGGCCGAGACGGAUCAGGCAGUAAUGAAAGCUCUGUUCAACGCUCUCGAAUCAGAACCUUCGUCGCACAAAGAUGUCUUUUAUCAGAUACUGAAACAGAUGGAACCCAGACUCAUUGAAGAGCUUGAGCAAAUGGACUCCAGUAGACACACACAGAUGGAGCCAGAAGACAGUGACGGAGAAAUAAGAGCCCACAAGCACAGAAUACAACAGUUAAGAAUUGAGAUGCAGGAAAAGAGAGAUUCCCUACGAAUGAGGAGAGAGGAGACCAUGAAAGCAAUAGAAGAAAUAGAAAAUCUCUGGGAAGGAACAAAGAGGGAAAAGGAUAAGGUUGAACACAUGAGGGCUAAGAUUCAGAGACAAAAAGCAGAACUUGAACAAAUGAUGCAAGAAAGAACAAAAUUAGAGGGUAUGAUAGAACAGAUGAAGGCUGAAAUCAGGAGGCUCAAAAAAGAGUUGAGACAAAAUAAGGAAGAGACAAAGCAUGAAAGGGACAAGAUGGAGAAGAUGAAAGCUGAAGUACAAUCAGAACAAGAGUCAGUGGAGAUAAGAAGAGAUGAGUUUGCCAGAGAGAGGGAACAGCUAGAUCACAUAAAGUUUGAGAUAUUGAGGGAGAGAGAGGAGACAGAACAAAAUCACAAAGUGAUUAUAACAGAGAAGCAAAAAGUGGAACAGAUGAAGGUGGAGAUUCAAAGGCAAACUGAAGAAAUAGAAAUUAAAGCUGAAGAGACAAAGUUAGCAAUGGAGAUGAUGGAACACAUGAAAAUAGGAAUACAGAGAGAGAAGCAUGAACUAGAAAAGAACAAGUAUGAAACAAGGAGGCAAACAGAACAGUUUGAACAGAUCAAAUAUGAGAUCAACAAGAUCAAAGAAGAGAUGGAAAAAAGAUGGUCUGAGGCAGAGAAAGAGGAGCAAAAGCAAAAAACUGAAAUGAAGAGGGAGAAAAAAGAGCUAGAAUUAAUAAAGGCAGAAAUUCAUAAAGCUAAAGAUGAGAUGGAACAUGUCAGAGAAGAGACAGAGAAAGAGAAGGAGCAGAUUGAAAAAAUUAAAGUUGAGUUGAGUAAUGAGAAAGACACUCUAGAGAGGGGAAGACAAGAAGUCAUAUGGGAAAAAAAGAACAUAGAGCAUUUAAAAAGUGAGCUGCAAAGAGCUACUGAAGAAAUGGCUCAAAGAAGUGAAGAGACAAACCGGGAAAGAGACAAAGUGGAGCAAAUGAAAAUUGAACUCCAGAGAAAGAUGGAAGAAGUGGAAAUCAGGAUGGAGGAAGCAAAACAGGCAAAAGUCAAGAUGGAGCAGAUGAAAAUAGAAACACAGAAAGCAAAAGACAUGUUGGAACAACAAAGGGAUGAGACAAGAAGAGCAAAAGAAGAGCUGGAGAGGAAGAGGUAUGAGACACUGAAGGAAGAGCUGGAGCAGAGAGCUGAAAUCCAGCGAGAAAGAGAUGAACUGGAACACAUAAAGCUAGGAAUGCAGAGGGAAAAAGAGGACAUGGAAAUGGCAAUUGAGGAAGCGGAAAAAGAUCUUAAACAGAAAAGAGAGGAGACCAGGCGUGAGAGGGAUAGCAUUGAAUGCAUAAAAGCAGCAAUACAAACUGAGAAAGGCUUCCUGGACAGGCAAAGAGAAGAGACAGUGAAGGACAGAGAAGAGUUAGAGCAGCUUAAGACAGAGAUACUACAAGCAAGACAAGAAUUGGAACAAAGCAGGGAAGUGCUGCAACAAGACAAGGACAAGAUGGAAAAGAUGAAAAGUGAGCUACAGGAACAGAUAAAUGAAAUACAAACCCAAACAGAUGACAUCAAAAGAACUAAAGAGAAACUGAAACAUAUGAAAGCAGAAAUACUCAUAGAGAAAAAUGAGUUAGAGAAAAAAGGAAAUAAGAUGAGGAGAGAUAAAGAACAGUUUGAAAAGAUCAAGUAUGAAAUAAACAGACUGAAAGAAGAGAUUGAAAAAAGAUGGUACGAAGCAGAACAAGAAGAGCUGGAGCAAAGAGCUCAAAUGCAGAGAGAGAAAGAAGACUUAGAAAAAAGGCAGGCUGAGAUACAAAGAGCAAAAAAAGAAAUAGAACAUGACAGAGAAGAGACAAAACAAGAGAGGAACCUCACUGAAAAAAUUAAAUGGGAGUUACACACAGAGAAAGAUGCCCUAGAAAAAGAAAGAGCAGUAGUGAAAAGAAAAGCUGAAGAACUGGAUCAGAUUAGAUGUGAAGUACAAAUGGCCAUGGAAAAUAUAGAACAGAACAAGGCAGAAAUCCAACAAGAGAAGAAUAAAAUGGAAAAGAUGAAAUUAGAAAUGAAAAAACAGUUAGAACAAAUAGAAAAUCAGACUGAAGAGGCAAAGCGAGCAAAGGAUGAACUAGAACAGUCAAAAGCAGACAUAGAGAAUGCUAAGCAGCUGUUACAUGAACAGAUACAUGAUAUGAAGAAAGCAAAAAAAGACAUAGAAAACAGAAGGUACAUGACUGUCAAAGAGGAGUUGGAGAUGAGAGCAGAAAUAGAGAAAGGAAGACAGGAACUGGAGAGGAUCCUGAUGGAAAUUCAAAGGGCAAAAGAGAAAGAAGAUCAAAUCAUACAUCACAUGGAAAGUAGUAAACUGAAAUUUCAACCACAGACAGAAAGAAUUAUCCAGAAAAGAACAUGGGAUCUGGCAAAUCUAGAAGAGCUUGAGAUUACUCAGAUAAAAACAGAGACACAAACAGUCAUACAAGAUGAAAAAGCAAACAAAAAAGAUGGACUAGAACUCAUUCGGUAUGAGAUAAAGAGGGGAAAAGAGGUUUGUGAACAAACCAAGAAAGAAACAGACAGGGAAAGGCAAGAGAUUGAACAGAUGAAAGUGGAAAUACAGAAAGACAAAGACGCACUCCUCCAAAAACGCGAAGAGACAUUCAGGGAGAAAGAAAUGCUGGAGAGGAUGAAGGCUGAUCUUUUGGAAUACAAAAAAGAGAUUGAACAAAAUAAAGAAGAGACAAAAAAAGAGAAGGAUAAAAUGGAUCAGAUAAAAACUGAAAUAAAACAACAAAUAGAGGCCUUAGAAAUCAGGAUUGCAGAGACAAAACAUGCAAAAGAAAGGUUGGAAAGAAUGAAGACAGAGAUAAUGAGGGAAAAGUAUGAUUUUGAAAGAAGAAAGGAUGAGACAGACAAGGAACCGUUUGAAAAAGUAAAAUAUGAAAUUAACAGAAUUAAAAUCGAGAUUAAUAAACUCUGGGAUGAGACUGAAAAUGAACAGCUAGAACUGAGAGCUAGAUUACAGAAAGUGGAAGAAGAAUUGGAGAACAAAACAGAAAAGAUAAACAGAGAGAUGGCAGAACUGGAAGAGUUAAAAUCAGAGUUGAAGAGACAGGAAGAAGAGAUUGAGAACAAAAGGGAAAAAAACAGAAAAGAAAUCAAUGAGAUUGAAAAAGCUAAAGCUGAACUGCAAAGGCAGAAUGAGGAAAUAGAAAUUAAAAUGCAAAUGGCAAAAAAUGAGAAAUAUGAGGCAGAAAAGACAAAGGCUGAUAUUCAGAGACAAAGAGAAGAAAUUGAAAAAAGGUUUGAAAAAACAAACAGAGAGAAAGAUAUUCUGGAGCAGAUGAAAAUUGAGAUGCAGCGACAGAGAGAUGAAAUUGAAAACAAAACAGAAAUAACACAGAAGGAGAUGUACAAAAUUGAACAAAUGAAGGUUGAAAUCCAAGGAAGGAGAAGUGAGGUAGAGCAAUGGAUUUUAAAGUCAAUGACAGAGAAAACUGAGAUAGAACUCAUGAAGGUGGAAAUACAAAGUAAGAGAGAAGAAGUUGAAAAAAUGAUGAGUGCAACUAAGAAAGAGAAAGACAUUCUAGAACUAGCCAAGGCAGAAAUAUUCAAAGAAAGAGCAGAUUUACAAAAAAACAAGGAAGACAUAAAAAAAGAAAGAGAGGAAGUGGAACAGAUAAAAAGAGAAACAAUAAGAAAUGAACAAGAAGCAAUAAAAAGAAUGGAAAUAAUAAAAACUGACAUGGAAAACCUGGACAGGAUGAAGACCAAAUUAAAAACAAGGACAGAAGAGCUGGAAGAGAGACAGGACAACACAAUGAGAGAAAAACACAUCUUAGAAAUGAAAAGGGAAGAGCUACAAAGAAACAAAGAAGAAAUGGAAAGACAGAAAAUACAAAGAAAAAUUGAAAAAGACGAGGCAGAUCGAAUGAAGAAUGAGCUACAGAGAGCCUUGGAUGAAAUCCAAAAAACCAGAGAAGAAGAGAGGAAACUAUGGAAAACACAGAAGGAUGAAAUGGAAAACAUGGUACAAACAAUACAGAACCAAACUGAGGAGAAAGAGGAGAUAAAGAAACUGAAGACUGAAAUAAGCAAGGAAAAACAUACUACUGAAAGUCUGAAGGACUCAACAAGCAAAGAGAUGGAAACAGUCGAAGAGAUGAAAAACAAACUUCAAAAAGAAAAGGAAGAAAUUGAGCAAGCCAGAGAUGAAUUAAUGAAAGACAAGGACAGGAUACAUUUAGAAAAGGUGGAAAUUGAAGGUAAACAGAAGGAAAUUACAGAGAAAUGGAAAGAGAUACAACUGGAGAAAGACGAAAUUGAGGAAACGAAGGCAGAACUACUGCGACAGAAAGAACAUAUGAGCGCACUGAAGCACACAGAGGAAAAUAAAAUAGCAAAAAUGAAAGCUGAAAUUGAAGGAGAAAAAGAACAACUGGAAAAGAGACUGGAAGACUUGAGAAAGGAGAAGGAGGACAUACAGAAAAUGAAGACUGAAAUAAGCAAGGAAAAACAAACUACCGAAAGCCUGAAGGACUCAGCAAGCAAAGAGAUGAAAACAGUCGAAGAGAUGAAAGAGAAACUUCGAAAAGAAAAAGAAGAAAUUGAGCUAGCCAGAGAGAGAAUAAUGAAAGACAAGGACUGGGAGGAAUUUGCAAAGGUGGAAACUGAUGGUAAACAGAAAGAAAUUACAGAGAAAUGGAAAGAGAUACAACUGGAGAAAGAUGAAAUUGAGCAAACGAAGGCCAAGCUACUGAGAUGGAAAGAAGAGAGGAACGUGGAGGAGAGGAAGAUGGCAAUAACGAGGGGUGAAAUCGAAAGUGAAAGAGAAGGACUGGAAAAGCGAUCGGAAAACCUGAGCAAAGAGAAAGAGGACAUCGAAAAAAUGAAGGCUGAAAUAAGUGAGGAAAAACAACGCGUUGGCCGCCUGAGGGAGUCAACAAAGAUUGAGAUGAAUACAAUUGAAGAGACGAAAGCCAAACUUCAGAAAGAGAAAGAAGAAAUUGAGCUAGCCAGAGAUGAAUUAAUGAAAGACAAGGACAGGAUACAUUUAGAAAAGGUGGAAAUUGAAGGUAAACAGAAGGAAAUUACAGAGAAAUGGAAAGAGAUACAACUGGAGAAAGAUGAAAUUGAGCAAACGAAGGCCGAGCUACUGAGAUGGAAAGAAGAGAGGAACGUGGAGGAGAGGAAGAUGGCAAUAACGAGGGGUGAAAUCGAAAGUGAAAGAGAAGGACUGGAAAAGCGAUCGGAAAACCUGAGCAAAGAGAAAGAGGACGUCGAAAAAAUGAAGGCUGAAAUAAGUGAGGAAAAACAACGCGUUGGCCGCCUGAGGGAGUCAACAAAGAUUGAGAUGAAUACAAUUGAAGAGACGAAAGCCAAACUUCAGAAAGAGAAAGAAGAAAUUGAGCUAGCCAGAGAUGAAUUAAUGAAAGACAAGGACAGGAUACAUUUAGAAAAGGUGGAAAUUGAAGGUAAACAGAAGGAAAUUACAGAGAAAUGGAAAGAGAUACAACUGGAGAAAGACGAAAUUGAGGAAACGAAGGCAGAACUACUGCGACAGAAAGAACAUAUGAGCGCACUGAAGCACACAGAGGAAAAUAAAAUAGCAAAAAUGAAAGCUGAAAUUGAAGGAGAAAAAGAACAACUGGAAAAGAGACUGGAAGACUUGAGAAAGGAGAAGGAGGACAUACAGAAAAUGAAGACUGAAAUAAGCAAGGAAAAACAAACUACCGAAAGCCUGAAGGACUCAGCAAGCAAAGAGAUGAAAACAGUCGAAGAGAUGAAAGAGAAACUUCGAAAAGAAAAAGAAGAAAUUGAGCUAGCCAGAGAGAGAAUAAUGAAAGACAAGGACUGGGAGGAAUUUGCAAAGGUGGAAACUGAUGGUAAACAGAAAGAAAUUACAGAGAAAUGGAAAGAGAUACAACUGGAGAAAGAUGAAAUUGAGCAAACGAAGGCCGAGCUACUGAGAUGGAAAGAAGAGAGGAACGUGGAGGAGAGGAAGAUGGCAAUAACGAGGGGUGAAAUCGAAAGUGAAAGAGAAGGACUGGAAAAGCGAUCGGAAAACCUGAGCAAAGAGAAAGAGGACAUCGAAAAAAUGAAGGCUGAAAUAAGUGAGGAAAAACAACGCGUUGACCGCCUGAGGGAGUCAACAAAGAUUGAGAUGAAUACAAUUGAAGAGACGAAAGCCAAACUUCAGAAAGAGAAAGAAGAAAUUGAGCUAGCCAGAGAUGAAUUAAUGAAAGACAAGGACAGGAUACAUUUAGAAAAGGUGGAAAUUGAAGGUAAACAGAAGGAAAUUACAGAGAAAUGGAAAGAGAUACAACUGGAGAAAGAUGAAAUUGAGCAAACGAAGGCCGAGCUACUGAGAUGGAAAGAAGAGAGGAACGUGGAGGAGAGGAAGAUGGCAAUAACGAGGGGUGAAAUCGAAAGUGAAAGAGAAGGACUGGAAAAGCGAUCGGAAAACCUGAGCAAAGAGAAAGAGGACGUCGAAAAAAUGAAGGCUGAAAUAAGUGAGGAAAAACAACGCGUUGACCGCCUGAGGGAGUCAACAAAGAUUGAGAUGAAUACAAUUGAAGAGACGAAAGCCAAACUUCAGAAAGAGAAAGAAGAAAUUGAGCUAGCCAGAGAUGAAUUAAUGAAAGACAAGGACAGGAUACAUUUAGAAAAGGUGGAAAUUGAAGGUAAACAGAAGGAAAUUACAGAGAAAUGGAAAGAGAUACAACUGGAGAAAGACGAAAUUGAGCAAACGAAGGCCGAGCUACUGAGAUGGAAAGAAGAGAGGAACGUGGAGGAGAGGAAGAUGGCAAUAACGAGGGGUGAAAUCGAAAGUGAAAGAGAAGGACUGGAAAAGCGAUCGGAAAACCUGAGCAAAGAGAAAGAGGACAGUCGAAAAAAUGAAGGCUGA
RNAcentral lists this long non-coding RNA (7459 nucleotides) under Scleropages formosus (Asian bonytongue). RNAcentral's name for it is "lncRNA (ENSSFOG00015009304.2)". The record is from RNAcentral. Lineage: Eukaryota; Metazoa; Chordata; Actinopteri; Osteoglossiformes; Osteoglossidae.